CGGCAGGGGGCCCGGCGGCAGGCGGCUGUCCGGCACUAGCGGGGCCCUGGGCUGGGGUGGGGGUCGCCCAAGAUGGCGGCGGGCGGCGCGGAGGGCGGCUCGGGCCCCGGCGCUGCAAUGGGGGAUUGUGCGGAGAUCAAGUCGCAGUUCCGCACCCGCGAGGGCUUCUACAAGCUGCUCCCCGGCGACGGCGCCGCUCGCAGGUCGGGUCCGGCUUCCUCCCAGACCCCGGCGCCACCCCAGCCGCCGCAGCAGCCCCUGCCCGGCCCUGCCUCCACCUCCGGCCCCGGUGCUGCGGGCGCCGCGCCGUCCCCUCCGCCCGCAGGCCCAGGGCCCGGGCCCGCGCUGCCUGCGGUGCGCCUCAGCCUCGUGCGCCUCGGGGAGCCCGACGGCGCCGGGGCCGGGGAGCCUCCCGCCACGCCCGCAGGGCUGGGCGCUGGGGGAGACCGCGUCUGCUUCAACUUGGGCCGCGAGCUCUAUUUCUACCCGGGCUGCUGUCGCCGCGGGAGCCAACGGUCCAUUGACCUCAACAAGCCAAUUGACAAGCGGAUCUAUAAGGGCACCCAGCCCACUUGCCACGACUUCAACCAGUUCACUGCUGCCACAGAGACCAUCUCCCUGCUGGUGGGAUUCUCAGCCGGUCAAGUGCAGUACCUGGAUCUCAUCAAGAAGGACACCAGCAAGCUAUUCAAUGAGGAGCGGCUUAUCGACAAGACCAAGGUGACAUAUCUGAAGUGGCUGCCUGAGUCAGAGAGCCUGUUCCUGGCAUCCCACGCCAGCGGCCACCUGUACCUGUACAACGUCAGCCACCCGUGCGCCUCGGCCCCACCGCAGUACAGCCUGCUGAAGCAGGGCGAGGGCUUCGCCGUCUACGCCGCCAAGAGCAAGGCGCCCCGCAACCCGCUGGCCAAGUGGGCGGUGGGCGAGGGGCCCCUCAACGAGUUCGCCUUCUCGCCCGACGGCCGGCACCUGGCCUGCGUCAGCCAGGACGGCUGCCUGCGCGUCUUCCACUUCGACUCCAUGCUGCUGCGCGGGCUCAUGAAGAGCUACUUCGGGGGCCUGCUCUGUGUGUGCUGGAGCCCCGACGGGCGCUACGUCGUGACAGGUGGUGAAGAUGACCUGGUCACCGUGUGGUCCUUCACCGAGGGCCGCGUGGUGGCCCGAGGCCACGGCCACAAGUCCUGGGUCAACGCCGUGGCCUUCGACCCCUACACCACGAGGGCCGAGGAGGCGGCUGCUGCCGGUGGCGACGGGGAGCGGAGUGGCGGGGAGGAGGAGGAGCCGGAGGCCGCGGGCACGGGCUCGGGCGGGGGCGCCCCCCUCUCCCCGCUGCCCAAGGCCGGCUCCAUCACCUACCGCUUCGGCUCGGCCGGCCAGGACACGCAGUUCUGCCUGUGGGACCUCACCGAAGACGUGCUCUACCCUCACCCUCCCCUGGCCCGCACCCGCACCCUCCCCGGCACGCCGGGCACCACGCCACCUGCCACCGGCAGCUCGCGAGGUGGUGAGCCAGGCCCCGGGCCCCUGCCCCGCUCACUGUCCCGGUCCAAUAGCCUCCCACACCCAGCGGGCAGCGGCAAGGCGGGCGGCCCGGGUGCGGCGGCGGAGCCGGGGACGCCCUUCAGCAUCGGCCGCUUUGCCACGCUCACGCUGCAGGAGCGGCGGGACCGGGGGGCCGAGAAAGAGCACAAGCGCUACCACAGCCUGGGCAACAUCAGCCGGGGCGGCAGUGGGGGCGGGGGCGGCGGGGACAAGCCCAGCGGCCCCGCCCCCCGAAGCCGGCUGGACCCCGCCAAGGUGCUGGGCACCGCGCUGUGCCCGCGCAUCCACGAGGUGCCGCUGCUCGAGCCGCUCGUGUGCAAGAAGAUCGCCCAGGAGCGGCUCACGGUCCUCCUCUUCCUGGAGGACUGCAUCAUCACCGCCUGCCAGGAGGGCCUCAUCUGCACCUGGGCCCGGCCGGGCAAGGUGUUCACAGACGAGGAGACCGAGACCCAGACAGGGGAAGGAAGUUGGCCCAGGUCACCCAGCAAGUCAGUGGUAGAGGUAGGACUGUCCCUAAGUUCUUCCCUCCCAGAAUCUUAGGACCCCCUCCGCAGUCAGAAGGGGACCCCAGUUUCCCCCUCUCCUCCCUACCUCCACCCCUACCCCAUCCUCUUUGCUCAGGAUCACCUGAGGACUUUAAUUGUGUAAGAGUGCCACCUGCUGGGAUAGGGAAGCUAGCUGAGAUGGCAUCUCCUCCCAACCAGGCAACUCCCCGAGCGGCACAGUAGUGUGAAGCCAUGGAUGUCGGGGUCCCCCACCCCAUGCCCCCAGCUCCUAGCAUAACCGUCCCCGCUGACCUCAUGGAUCAACGUAUUAACAAGACUAACCGUGACGGAUGGACUGCUCCGGUCCCUCUCCCUGCUCAAAUUUGGGGCAGAGGGUCCCUCAGACUGACCCAGACACUGGGGGGAUGUAGUGGCCCGUGUGGCCUCAGCCUUGUCCCCACCCACUGCCAAGUACAAUGACCCCUUCCUCUGAAACAUCAGUGUUAGCCUCAUCCCUGUCCCCAGCAUGUGACUGGUCACUCCUGGGGGAGAAACUCCCCACCCACAAGAGCCCCAGCUCUGCAGUGCACCUCUCGGUCCUGUGUGCAGGGCAGGGGGUGGCCCAUCCCUCCCCUGGCCCCCGCCCUGCCCUUGCUGUUACUUGUGCUUUUGAAGAAUGUUAAAUUAUGGAAGCCCCUGGGGUCCUCGCUGUCCCCCAGGACCUCUUAUUUAUACUAAAGUUCCCUGUUUUCA
Molecule: RNA transcript, 2780 nt
Organism: Aethalodelphis obliquidens (Pacific white-sided dolphin)
Lineage: Eukaryota; Metazoa; Chordata; Mammalia; Artiodactyla; Delphinidae
Gene: DMWD
Gene name: DM1 locus, WD repeat containing
Exons: 5
Source: RefSeq, a predicted model, not a curated record